GAUAUUUUUGUCGAUAUGAUGAAGAAUCCACAAUAAAUGAAUGAGAAGAUCCAGAAUUUCACCUUCAUGAAAGACAACGUGGUGAAGAUGGAAGGAGGAAAGACAUCUAGAGGAGGGGAAAUAAUUGUAUUAAUGUUUUGCUAUAAUUUUAUUUGAGAGGAGAGAAUUGGUUUGUCUUCUUUCUCCCAUGGCCAAAUUCAAACUCUCCUUGGCGUCGGUGUUUUAUUCUUAUUCCAUGACACAACGAUCAUCAGGAUCUGAAACUAGGAGAAGCAUACAUUUCCUUGCUCUCAGGGUCACACAUCCACCUUUUCUCUGUAAACAGGCCAAGGAAGCUCCAUCUUCCUCUCUUUCUUCUGCAACCUCAUCACCGAUCCCCCCUCUCUCUCCGUCUAUGUCUCCUACGCUCUCUCCCACUCCCAGCUCUCCCAGGCCCUUGCGCAGCCCCAAUUCCUCCAAUCCCUUGUCUCCUUCCAUCCUCACUUCCUUGUAUCCCCUCUCGUUCGUGACCUCUCAUCCUUGGAGAAGAAAGCAAUAGCACGCCAGGUAAUCGAGUUAUCACUGCUCUAUGCUCUGAUGAUUAUGUUCACCGUUAGUUCGUUGCUAGGAUCGCUGACACUAUCUCAUCUGGCUCGCUCACGUCAGGUCUACGUGAGAGAGAGAGUGGUGGAGCUUUGCAUUGGAAAACUAAAGAAUAAUGCAGAGGCAGUGACUUGACUCCGGACAACUUUUGAUUUUUUUUGUGACAAUUGAGUUAAACUUUUUUUUAUUGAACAAAGAGAGAGAGAGAGAGAGUGGGGGACCUUUGCAUUAGAAAAUCAAAGAAUAAUGUAGGGGUAGUCAGGCCUAACUUGACUCCGGACAUCUUUUGAUUUUUUUUGUAUGACUACACCCUCCCCACUCUCUCUCUUUCUCACCACCUGUGAGACGGAGCCCCCCCUCAUCAUACAUCUAUGCUCCAACUCUAUAUAUGUCUAUGUCCAUAGCCUCAACUCUUUCUCUCUCUCACAGCUGUCUUUCUUUCAAUACUCACUCUAUGGCCCCUCCUCUUCAUUUAUCUUGGUAACAUCGGUGUUUCUCUUCAGUACUCCACGCCAUUAUACGGGAUGCUAGGGCUUCUACAACGACAAUAUCUUUCCUCAAAGUUCGUCAUCCUCUCUUUGAUCCCAGAAAAAAAAGGACUUGCUUGUGCACAAAAUAUUUGUUUAUUUUUCUCUUUUAUCUCUAACAGAUGAUGAAGAGGAGAUACUAGCAAAAUGGGCUAUAAGGGACGAGGCCAUGUCAGUCGAGCCAUCUACCUAUGGAUUCUCAAGCACCGCCUUGUUCGGUAGGACGGAUAGAGUGCUCAAUCCCUAGCCUGCUUGGUUUAAAGGAUUUAAGAAAAAAUAUAUUUAGUUAACCUUUGAUUAACUACACUCAAUCGACCUUCGGACUCAAUUUUUUUCUUACGGAUAUAGAUCAUUUGGAAGAAAUGAGAGCUUGGGCCAAAGAUCUACAAUUGUCAAGUAGUAGUUCUAGUGAUAAGGAUUAUACUAUCAGAAAUGAAAUGAAAAAAGAAGAACUUGCAGAUGAUUGUGAAGAGAAAAUUGAAGUUGACAUUACAAAUCCAUUUUUAACCGAGGUGGUAUAACAACUACGGAAAUAAUAUGUCUUCUAUUUUGAACAUCUUUAGCAAACCUGUUUAAGUUUAUAAUAGUUAUAAAAUAUUUUUAGGUGUUCGAUUCACAUCAAUUGUUGAUUGAUUGGGUUAAAGAAACAGGGCGUAAUGUGGGAUACAUCAUCGUUACAAGAAGCUCAUCGAGCUCAUUAUUAUUGUUGCAAUGCAAGGCAGUGGCAAGUACAGAAUGAAGAGAACCUCAACGAAGUCAACAGGCACGAAAAAGCUUGAUUGUCCUUUCAGACUUAAAGGGUUGAAACUACGUGGAGCUGAUGAUUGGAUGGUACAAGUGCUAUGUGGAAUGCACAAUCAUGCCACUGCAUCAUAUAUGGAGGGGCAUUCGUACGUUGGUCGCCUUUCUGACUCUGAAUUUGAGAUGAUGGUAGAUAUGUCUAGCGAUCAUGUCAAGCCACGAGACAUCUUAGCAUCGUUGAAGAAACGAGAUGCGAAACAUGCGUCCACUAUUAAAACAAUAUACAAUGCAAGACAGAAGUUCCGAACUUCUGAAAAAGUCAGUAAAUCCCACAUUCAGUCUCUAAUGUCAUUCAUACAUGAACACAUGUACAUUUUCUAUUAUCGAACCGAUGAUAUAACCAACGAGCUCUAGGAUUUGUUCUUUGCUCAUCCAGACUCGUUAGAAAUACUACGUGCAUUCUCACAUGUUUUAUUAAUGGACGCAACAUACAAGACGAACAGGUUCAGGAUGCCUCUUCUUGAGAUUGUCGGGGUGACUCCAACAAAUUUGACAUAUUGCAUAGCAUUCGUGCUCUUGAAUUCUGAGAAGGAGGACAAUUAUACAUGGGCUUUAAGAUGUUUGCAGUCAACAAUAAAGGAAAGCAUUGCCCCAAGAGUUAUUGUCACCGAUAAAUAGUUGGCGUUGAUGAAAUCAUGUGCCCUGGUAUUUCCUGAUGCAAAGAAACUACUUUGUAGAUGGCACAUAUAUAGGAGUGUUUUGGCGAAUUGCAAAAGAUUAUUUCAAGACAAAGAAUCAUGGGAUGCAUUCUACUCAUCAUGGAAUACGUUGGUGGAGUCUGAAAAUGAGAUUGUCUACGUGUACAAUUUGUCGCACCUAGAGGUAAUCCUACAAAACUAUGCAUUUGUGCUUAAUUACAUUAAAGAUGUAUGGUUGACACCAUAUAAGGAGAUGUUUGUCUCUGCUUGGACAAAUACGUAUUUGCAUUUCGGGAACUUGACCACUAAUAGGGUCGAGAGUCAGCAUGCAAAGUUAAAGAAAUACCUGGGAUCAUCACAGUCAGACGUUGAGUCCAUAGUAUCUUGCAUUCAUCAGCUCGUCCAAGCUCAGGCCACAUCAAUCAAGGCUAGUUUGGAGAAAAGUAGACAUAUCGUCAAGGAUCGGUUCAACACAGAUCAAUUUAGGGAAUUACGUGGUUUUGUUUCGAUUGAUGCGUUGAAUCUAAUUUUCAAUGAAUCUGAGCAAUCUAAAGUUGUCAGAGAAGAUUCGUACGCUUGUGGAUGUAAACUUCGUACAAUCUAUGGACUACCUUGUGCGCAUGAGCUUUUAAUAUACAUAAACGAUAGUCAGCCUAUACCACUUGCGUCAAUCGAUGCAUUCUGGAAGAAACUUGACCUAUCGCCAUGUAUUUCUCUUAGAGAUGAUGACAUCGAUUGUAUUGUUGAGCUACAAAUGUUUGCAGAACAAUUUAAGCGCCAUUCACGACCAGGAAAGUUCAGUCUAUUGCGAAAGAUCAGGAGAUAAUUAAACCCUCAACGACUAUAGUACAAGAUCCGGUUGUUUUGAAAAGUACACGUGGACGCCCCUCUUCGAAGAAAAAAGCAGAAUUACAUACUCUUUGUAAUCCUAUCACACCCGAUUCUGUAGAACACGAUUUUCUUCAAUCAUACCAACAAAGUAGACACAAUAUUUCAAUGGGACGUUGAUCCUCGAAGAAAAAGACAGGUGGAGUAACUCAUACAGAUUCCCAUCAACUAGGGAGACAUAGUUGCUCAUCCCUAUACGUUACUCCACCACUCCCUACACAAAGGAGUUCCAGAUCGAGUAACGUUACGCAUGAACAUAUUUAUGUUCGUCAGUUUCCCCCAAUAUUACAUCCUUACAUUGGGUCUGUACAAGAUGUAAUACCUUAUGGAAAUUGUGGCUUUCGGGCAAUAGCUGUUUGUCUUGUAUUGGCGAACAUGCAUGGGAUACUGUCCGUCGUGACUUGAUAGGUGAGUUGAGCGCAUUCUGGCAUGAAUGUGUUGCAAUGUUUGGUAGUGAAGAGCAUGCAUUGGGUGUUCACAACUCACUGAACUUCUUUGAAUUAGAUAGAGUAGCACCAGUUCAGCACUGGACGACAAUGCCAAACAUGGGUCUCUUGAUUGCUUCGAGGUACAAUGUCAUACUACACGUUCUUAGUUCUGCACAGAGCUUCACAUAUUUACCACGGCGAUCAACUCCUCCACCGCAGUAUCAGCAUGUUGCUAUCGCUAUCGGACACGUUAAUAAUAAUCUCUACGUCCAGGUUUCCUUAGUUGGGGGUUACCCGAUGCCUACCAUUAUGCCUCAGUGGAAUUACUUCAAGUAUGAGUGCGCAGCUGCAUGGGUUUUACCGUAUAUGGAACAACUUGAUGUAUACAUGCAGCAUACUCGUUCUAGGUUUCCUCCUAAAACUAUUGUGAUAGAAGAAGAUUAGUAAUGUAACAAAUGCUAUUAUGCUUAAAUAAAGUAUUUGUUAAUAGACUCUGAUGCGAGUGCUUUAAUACAUGAAAACUAAAGAAUUUUUUUAGCGUCAAAAAAUGGCUUGAAUUAUACCAAAAAAAUAUAAACACUUAAUAGUAUUUGAUUGAUCGAAAAAAUAUAAACACCUAAUAAAAACCAAUGAACCGACAACCUCCGCGUUUUUUUCUGAAUUAAAAUAUUAUAAUAUUAGAUUUCAUAAUUUUUAUAUUAAAUUUUGUUAUUAAAUUUAAUGUGAUAAAUAAAUCACACGAGUUUGUCACACGAGGGAACAAAGUGGCUCGAAAUACGAUGAUUUGUCAACUGCAUGUUUUGUCAAAUUCAUAGAUAUCAGUUAUUGAAAAGAUUAAGAGAGAGAAAAACUAUGUGUAUUUAGGAAAAAAAGAGAAUAAAAAAGUGUAAUGUAGUACAAGUCAAACAUCUAAUCAAUAGUUUUGAAAUCAAUGCAUGUGCACUUAGUAAAACUUGUGUGCACUUAGCAUCACCCUUUGGGUUUGUAUUGAAUUGUCACUCAAACAAUCCCUAUGACAUCAUAAGGGACAAAUAUACCCUCACAUUAAGUCUUGUUACAGGUCUUCAAUUACCAAGGUAACAUAGGAAGUGACAUAGGAAGCUAAAAUGUUCAUGUUUCCAUUUUUAUUAUUUUUAACUCCUCUGCUGACUGUGUUACUUCUUUGAAAUAGUGAAGAGAUCCAGAGUGAGAUCCUUUAUAUUCUGUACAAUGUCUCCGUCCUCCAAUGUGCCCCUAAGGAUAUUGAUGCAGAGGAUGUUCUCAUUGACUUUUGUCCGAAGCUUUUUCAUCAGUCAGUAGAUGCGCUCGUUUCUAAAUCGUGAAAAUUAAAUGCUAUCAAAAGUCCUGAGUUAUAGAGACUCCUUAAUUGCUCUUCAUUAUAGCCAUUGGGGGCGAUAUUGUGGGAUAUGGCAUGGCUAGACUAUAGGUAAUAGUUAUGUACACCAACACUGCAUAGGCAUGCUCUUCUUUCGGAUUGAAUUUAUGGAUAUUUUUCCACUUUCAUGAGCUAACACAAUUUGUAUUUAUUUACUCCAGCAUCGUAGACAAUAUUGGCUCAAAGAAGGAUAUUUGGGAAUACAUGUAAAAAUGAGAACAAUAGCCUGAGUUCUGAUGAAGCAAAAAAUUUUAUGCAGACAAUGGAUGAAAUAGAAGGGGUUCCUCUGUGUGCCUUAUUUGCUGAGGCCAUUAAAGGUGCACUUCUGUUGCCGGACACCAAGUCCAUAUCAGCCCCCUAUAUCUCAUUUUCCAUUGUUUGUCAUGUUAACAAUAUUGCAGAGUUGGGCGAUAGUAGAGGAUAACUAUGUAGCAGCGCUUUUGGUAUGCUUGUUGCUACAACUUGCGAAAGAAGAGGGCAACGGGAACAACAUUAUAUCAGUAGUAAAUCUCAUGGCAGGAAUAAUUAACAUUUUCGCACCUGCUUCGGACAACUUAUGUUUGCAUGAUAUAGGCAAUGCAGUUUAGGUUGUUCCUUACAAUUCAAUCAUUCUUCGUUGUAGGGUUUCAAACCCGUAUCACUUUUAGUAUUAAGCAUACUAGUUUGGUGCACUCUGAAACACUCUCUCGCGAUGAAGCUUGAGUUGUUGUGCAAUCUGAUGCGUCAAGUUUCCAUUAUCAGCAUCCAAUGUGACGAUUUGUGUAGAGUUGUGCAUUUUGGGCCUCCUACAGUCACACUUGUUGCUUCAUAUUUCGUGUUAAAAAUAUUUACCAGACUAACGGAACAAAUAAAUAGGAAACACGAGUAGUUAGAAUGAUCAAUGGACUGCCUAAUUUCUACUGUGGCUCUACUAGAAGGCCUAGUUUUCCAUAUUGACAUCAGAAUGGCUAGGAACUGUGUCGUCUGCCUCUCGGUGAUCAUAGGGUGGGAAAAACUGGGAGCGUAGGAGACGAGAUUCAUUACAAAGAAUAGGUGGUGCGGGUUGAUAGUAAAAGAGAUGGCAAUGUCUUUGGUAGUUCCAUGCUUAGCUUCUAAGUCUUUCAUGAAUCAUCAUAAAUCUGCUAUUAACAUAACUGUUGCAUUGGUAAAGCUUCAGAAGGUUCCAAGGUGGCAGAGGUUGGUGUCUAAAGAUAUAAUUGACAAUCUUUGGGCUAUGUUUUUGCCUUUUGGUAGUUCCAUGCUUGGUUAUCACCAGAAACAUAUUCCAGUGGAAGACCGGUGAGGGAUAGGAGUUUUUCAAGGCGUUACUGUUGGACAUAUGGUUCUACAUGUCGAAUUUUGAUAAUAUUAAAUCAUUUGUAAAUGAUAUUGAAACAUUAAAGCAAUAUUUGAUUUAUGUGAAUUGAAUUUGAAUGAAUAUAUCUCAUUGAUUAUCUUA
Tripterygium wilfordii is the source of this 6677-nucleotide long non-coding RNA. RefSeq lists it as uncharacterized. The record is from RefSeq and is a predicted model, not a curated record. The transcript is spliced from 5 exons. NCBI's taxonomy places the organism in Eukaryota, Viridiplantae, Streptophyta, Magnoliopsida, Celastrales, Celastraceae.